This 115-nucleotide ribosomal RNA is filed under the name Sinocyclocheilus anshuiensis. Lineage: Eukaryota; Metazoa; Chordata; Actinopteri; Cypriniformes; Cyprinidae. The record is from RNAcentral.
GCCAGCAGCAAUUACUCUGCAGCUCUCGCCUGGUCGCUCACUGAAGCUAAGCAGGGUUGAGCCUGGUCACUACCUGGAUGGGAGGCCUCCUGGGAAAACUAGGUUGCUGCUGGAA